RNAcentral lists this ribosomal RNA (620 nucleotides) under Microbacterium sp. RNAcentral describes it as "bacterial SSU rRNA". It matches the Rfam family "Bacterial small subunit ribosomal RNA", at positions 169 to 802 of the family's 1533-position model. Lineage: Bacteria; Bacillati; Actinomycetota; Actinomycetes; Micrococcales; Microbacteriaceae. The record is from RNAcentral.
CUGGAUACGAGUAGCGGCCGCAUGGUCAGUUACUGGAAAGAUUUUUUGGUUGGGGAUGGGCUCGCGGCCUAUCAGCUUGUUGGUGAGGUAAUGGCUCACCAAGGCGUCGACGGGUAGCCGGCCUGAGAGGGUGACCGGCCACACUGGGACUGAGACACGGCCCAGACUCCUACGGGAGGCAGCAGUGGGGAAUAUUGCACAAUGGGCGGAAGCCUGAUGCAGCAACGCCGCGUGAGGGAUGACGGCCUUCGGGUUGUAAACCUCUUUUAGCAGGGAAGAAGCGAAAGUGACGGUACCUGCAGAAAAAGCGCCGGCUAACUACGUGCCAGCAGCCGCGGUAAUACGUAGGGCGCAAGCGUUAUCCGGAAUUAUUGGGCGUAAAGAGCUCGUAGGCGGUUUGUCGCGUCUGCUGUGAAAUCCCGAGGCUCAACCUCGGGCCUGCAGUGGGUACGGGCAGACUAGAGUGCGGUAGGGGAGAUUGGAAUUCCUGGUGUAGCGGUGGAAUGCGCAGAUAUCAGGAGGAACACCGAUGGCGAAGGCAGAUCUCUGGGCCGUAACUGACGCUGAGGAGCGAAAGGGUGGGGAGCAAACAGGCUUAGAUACCCUGGUAGUCCACCCCG